This is a long non-coding RNA of Rosa rugosa (rugosa rose), 1623 nucleotides long. RefSeq lists it as uncharacterized. The record is from RefSeq and is a predicted model, not a curated record. NCBI's taxonomy places the organism in Eukaryota, Viridiplantae, Streptophyta, Magnoliopsida, Rosales, Rosaceae. The transcript has 3 exons.
CUUGAACCAUGUUUAAAGGUGCUUCCUGAGGCCAUUGGAAUCGUUCAGCCAAAUUAAGGAUGUGAAUUGACUGAGAUUGAGGACCCGAAAAGAUGACCCGCACCGUAGCCUAAAAUUUUCGUAUUCAUCGUAUUUCUCCCGGGUUGGUUUCGCGAUGGAGGUCCAGAAAAGAUGACCCGCCUGUUUCAUUUCAUUCGAAUUUCCUCUCUUUCCCUAUAUUCCAUACCAACUUAGCCUCCGCCUAGAGAGAGGAAGCUUCCACCUUUCAAAUCAAACUCGGAGAAAUCAAGGACGACGAAAUGAAGAAAUCGAAGAGGACGAGACGUUUUGGAUUAUGAGGUUAAUUGAUCAGCUUGAUGGGUGACCAGAGCUAGCUAGCGAGUAGUAUCCCACAGGCCAUUAUACUCUAGUAAAAUAUGAUCCUGCAUUCAUAAUGCAUUUGCUUCAAAGUGUGUGAGAUAUGAUACUCUAGUAAAUUGGAGUUAAAGCCUUUAUACUCUAGCAUGCUAUUCUAAAAGUACAUUUGCUUCAAAUUUUGAUUGCAGGUCAGACUCAACCGCCAUUCUUCAAUUGCGUCACUGAUUUGGUUUCAGGUUUUCUCAUUUACAGGAAUAAGAAACGUCUUUUUCUUUGUUCAUUCUGUUUGUUCAGUUUAUUUGGUUGCAUUCUUUUAUUUACUUUGCUAUUCAAUUUAUGUGUUCCAUAUUGAUUUUGAAUAUCCUUUUGGACUUAUUUUGGCACAAUUUCUCAUCCAUAUUUUAAAAGUGAAAGUAAGUAUAAAGCAUUAAGUUUCACUAUACACAAGCAAGUCCAGCUUUUAUUUGAUUGGAUGGGACUUGCACGACUUUGGGUUGGUUCAAUGCUAAUUAUUUAGCAUGCUUUGCAGGCAGUUAAGGUAAUUAAAUAAAAGUCACUUAUGAAGCAUUCUAUUAUUUAAAACUCUUAUUAACUGGAUGUUUUUUGAAGUGUAGGAAGGUGGUAAGCCUGUAUCAUUUAUAGACAAUUAUGAAAAUAUGUAUCAAGAUGCAGAUCAUAAGUGGGUAAGUGAGGUUAAACGAGUGAGACAUGAGAAAAUGAAGUAGAGUAGGAAAGAUGUCAAGGCAAAGCUCAUUGAAGAGGCACCAGAAGGUACUCCUAUUGAGUCAACAGAAGUGACUUUGAAUGAUGAGAUUGUAAUUAUGGUUGAGAGUGUGGGAGAAAAGGUGGCAAGGUUCACAGUGCAGGUGCUUUUCCUCACUUAGAUAUCUCGUAUGCUUUUUCCAUGGUAAUAUGCUCUAUGUGGAAUGAGAUGAAAGGUAAUCUACAAAAGCUUACAUCCACUGUAAGUUGCUUGAAAAUGUGAAGUUGAAAUCUGUGUGGCGGGCAAUAUUUAGCAAAUUAAAUGGGGGUAACAACAUCAAUUGUGAUGCUGAUGAUAACUUUGUACAAGGAACUGAUGGUAUUGAAGGCAGUGAUGACUUCCCUGAUAUGGAGGGUUAGAUUGAUCCCUUGGGUUUCAUCAAAUAUGUAGGAAUUAUCUUUUAAAUAUGCAGUUAAGGAACUAAUUAGUCCUUAAUCGAUCAUAGGAUAUUUUAUUUUGAAUCCUUUUGGAAUUGCAAUUAUAGAAAAAUUAUAUGUUGGUGA